Molecule: ribosomal RNA, 101 nt
Filed under: Staphylococcus aureus
Lineage: Bacteria; Bacillati; Bacillota; Bacilli; Caryophanales; Staphylococcaceae
Source: RNAcentral
CUAGGAGAUACACCUGUACCCAUGCCGAACACAGAAGUUAAGCCCUAGAACGCCGGAAGUAGUUGGGGGUUGCCCCCUGUGAGAUAGGAUAGUUGUGUUGA